Sardina pilchardus (European sardine) is the source of this 1046-nucleotide long non-coding RNA. RefSeq lists it as uncharacterized. The record is from RefSeq and is a predicted model, not a curated record. The transcript has 12 exons. Lineage: Eukaryota; Metazoa; Chordata; Actinopteri; Clupeiformes; Clupeidae.
CCUCUAGCAUUUCCCCUUUAAUAGCCCGUCACGUGGUUCAGCUCUUCCGCUUUCAUACAAGUCUUUCAGAGCGGCAUGCCUAAGUGGAAAGUCUGCAGUCAUGGAAGCUCCGCGUGAGAAGUUAUUAAUGAUGGUCAUUAUGGACCUCAGGGUCAAGAAUGGAAGGAGUAGUUUCAGAAAGGAGGCUCAUAGAACUUGAGGAAUGAGCGCAUGGGUCACCAGCUGAGGCAGUUUGGAAUCAAGGCAUGCAAUGACCUGAUAAACAAAUUACUGGGAAGGAUGGUCAUUAUGGACCUCAGGGUCAAGAAUGGAAGGAGUAGUUUCAGAAAGGAGGCUCAUAGAUGAAUGAUGUGGUGGUCUUGCGUCCCUUGCAUAGAUGGAGAGACCUGCAUUCUGCCCAGCCCACAGGACUUGUGGAGUGAGCAGAAGGAGCCCCGUUUGUGGCAGGACGCAGGACUUCCGUCUUCAAGCAGGACCGUAGCCUCAUUUCCAAAUGGCUUGGGAGAGCCCAUGGUAUGAUCAGGAGCCCACCUUAAAGCAGGACCUCUGACUGGAGACAAAGCAGUCAAUUGCCUGACAUGCAAAUGACUGGGAAGAGCCCAUGGUAUGACCAGGAGCCCACCUUAAAGCAGGACCUCUGACUGGAGACAAAGCAGUCAAUUGCCUGACAUGCAAAUGACUUGGAUGAGCCCAUGGUAUGAUCAGGAGCCCACCUUAAAGCAGGACCUCUGACUGGAGACAAAGCAGUCAGUUGCCUGACGUGCAAAUGACUUGGAAGGUCAGAAGCUUGGCUUAGGGCAGGACCUUUCACUGGAUGCAAGGCAGUCAGUUUCCUGACAUGCAAGUGGCCUGGAAGGUGAAUGGUGUGAUGGUCGGGCUUUUCUUGCAUAGAUGGAGACCUGCAUUCGCCAGUCUGCAGGUUUCUGCUACUGGUCUGAAUGAGGGAAUGUGCAAGGCCAUAAGAUGGAGAUGUAUUUGUGUUCUGCAUGGGCAAAUCUAAAGUAAUGUAAUGUCAGAAAUUUGACAAUAAAUAUUUCAACUUGCAA